AGUGAACGCUGGCGGUAGGCCUAACACAUGCAAGUCGAACGGCAGCACAGUAAGAGCUUGCUCUUACGGGUGGCGAGUGGCGGACGGGUGAGGAAUACAUCGGAAUCUACUUUUUCGUGGGGGAUAACGUAGGGACACUUACGCUAAUACCGCAUACGACCUACGGGUGAAAGCAGGGGAUCUUCGGACCUUGCGCGAUUGAAUGAGCCGAUGUCGGAUUAGCUAGUUGGUAAGGUAAAGGCUCACCAAGGCGACGAUCCGUAGCUGAUCUGAGAGGAUGAGAGGCCAAACUGGAACUGAGACACUGUCCAGAGUACUACGGGAGGCAGCAGGAGGGAAGCUUCCGCAAUGGGCGAAAGCCUGACGGAGCAACGGCGCGUAAGGUAUGAAGGUCUUCGGAUCGUAAAACUCUGUUAUGAGGGAAGAACAAAUGUGUAAGUAACUAUGCACGUCUUGACGGUACCUAAUCAGAAAGCCACGGCUAACUACGUG
Molecule: ribosomal RNA, 492 nt
Filed under: uncultured bacterium
Lineage: Bacteria
Description: partial 16S ribosomal RNA
Rfam family: Bacterial small subunit ribosomal RNA
Source: RNAcentral